Non-coding RNA from Brachypodium distachyon (stiff brome), 136 nucleotides. NCBI's taxonomy places the organism in Eukaryota, Viridiplantae, Streptophyta, Magnoliopsida, Poales, Poaceae. The record is from Rfam.
CAUGUACUCCCUCUGUCCAAUAAAAAAUGUCUCAAGUUUGUCAAAAUUUGGAUGUAUCUAGACAUGAAUUUGUGUAUAGAUGCAUUCAAAUUUGGUCAAAGUUGAGACAUCAUUUGUUUGAUGGAGGGAGUAGCUA